AUGAAGUUGAACGUCGGUGGACUGUGCUGGUGCAACCACACAUGUGCACGUCCCCGGCAAACCAAUCCACACACCUUGUGCACAUCUAGACUAACAGAGGUUCGUCAGGACUUGUCCCGAUUGGAGCCUCUGCUGGUACUUUUUCACACACUCGUAUGUUUGUUGGGAUGUCUGAGUGCUCUUAAGCACGCUAACUAUAAUA
RNAcentral lists this unclassified non-coding RNA (202 nucleotides) under uncultured fungus. RNAcentral's name for it is "sequence contains ITS1". Lineage: Eukaryota; Fungi. The record is from RNAcentral.